UCCCUGAUAGCUCAGUUGGUAAGGAAUCCACCUGCAAUGUGAGAGACCUGGGUUCGAUCCCUGGUUUGGGAA
Ovis aries (sheep) is the source of this 72-nucleotide transfer RNA. It matches the Rfam family "tRNA". From Rfam's summary of the family: Transfer RNA (tRNA) molecules are approximately 80 nucleotides in length. Their secondary structure includes four short double-helical elements and three loops (D, anti-codon, and T loops). The record is from Rfam. NCBI's taxonomy places the organism in Eukaryota, Metazoa, Chordata, Mammalia, Artiodactyla, Bovidae.